Papaver somniferum (opium poppy) is the source of this 1384-nucleotide long non-coding RNA. RefSeq lists it as uncharacterized. The transcript is spliced from 5 exons. The record is from RefSeq and is a predicted model, not a curated record. Lineage: Eukaryota; Viridiplantae; Streptophyta; Magnoliopsida; Ranunculales; Papaveraceae.
UAUACGCGAUUAUGCAAGAGACGUUGCAAGCAUUAGGUGGUAAAGAAAUGGUGGUGGGACAUACUCCUCAAACUGAAGGCAUAAACUGUAAAUACGGUUGUUGUAUAUGGCGUGUGGAUGUUGCAAUGUCCAGCGGAGUCCUUAAUUCAAUACCGGAGGUUCUAGAAAUAAUAGACAAUGAAUCAAGGGAAAUAAGGAGCGGAACAAAUAUGUUUAGCGAAUUUCAGGUUGUUGACUACAGAUGGAUAUUCCUACAUCCGAUAAGGCGAUUAUUAGAAUUGCUAGAUAUAUUUCAACUCUAUUCAAUUAAUUCUUCAUUUGGAAACCUGGAAGUUGGCUUACUGGGUAUACCAAUUGAUGCGGUGGUGGAGAUUUGCAGCUAAAAUUUGUGUUGAAGUUCAUCCCGUUGCGAUACUGCUGGUCAAGGGAAAUUUGGGGGCCUUAGAGAUGGAUAUUAGAGACUUUUAUUGAGGAUUGGGGUUGCUUGCAAUCGCAGGAAAAAAUUAAUCGUGUGGUUGAAAUGCUCAUUACAAGAAGCUGAGGUUCUGUAAGCAAGCCAAGCAUUAUUGGACUUUCAAGUGAGAGUACUUUGACCUACAUUGCUUAUCAUUAAGUGCCAUACUACUUCGGUAUUGCAGAGACCUUAAUUUGUAUCAUAAUUGAGUUUGAGUGGUAGUAACUGGUUUAGUCAAUUGAAUUUCGUAUGUUGAUUUAAUUUCUUUUUGUCUUGUUUGCUCGAAAUAUGGCAUUCUUUGCUUUCCAACCCAUUUAAGCUUGGACCUGUAACAUACCAACUGAUUUCUACCCCUUCAUUUUUGCAAGAGAAAGGACUUAGGGAUGAAGUUCAGGAGCUUAACUCUCGAUUGCUAAAUCAAGAUGCGUACAUUGAAGAACGCUGAAUGGUGAAUAAAAAGCUGGAAUCCUGCACUCCAAAGUAUCACACUGGCUCCCUCCGUUCAAAGAAACAAAGGUAUUUGGGCUUAAGUCAAAAAGCAGUACUUGGUGAUAUUUUAGCAGCAGCUGCAUCUACGUAUGAUUUGCUGAGGAAGUUUGUUAAGCAAGCGGAGUCUCGUGAUACAUUCUGGUGAUAUUUUAGUCCUCCUUUCCCUGUUUUUCAAUGCCUCUGUCAGUUGACACAAAUUAACUAGGUUACCCAUUCAUUUAUAAACAUCAACACAGAACGAAAGUUGUAUGUCAGUCACAAAAUUUUGGGUUAUGUAACUUGUGUACAUUUCUAUCAAUUGAAGAAUCCUUUCUUCUAUAAUAUUAUCUAGUGGUGAUUCUCAGUAAGAUUCUCCACAAUACAGUUUUGUAUCACCAUUGUAGUUUGUACAUCUGUGUGGAUGUUGAAUAUGGGGAACUGGGUAAUUGCAGGGGAGGAAAU